GACGAACGCUGGCGGCGUGCUUAACACAUGCAAGUCGAACGGAAAGGCCCUGCUUUUGUGGGGUGCUCGAGUGGCGAACGGGUGAGUAACACGUGAGUAACCUGCCCUUGACUUUGGGAUAACUUCAGGAAACUGGGGCUAAUACCGGAUAGGAGCUCCUGCUGCAUGGUGGGGGUUGGAAAGUUUCGGCGGUUGGGGAUGGACUCGCGGCUUAUCAGCUUGUUGGUGGGGUAGUGGCUUACCAAGGCUUUGACGGGUAGCCGGCCUGAGAGGGUGACCGGCCACAAUGGGACUGAGAUACGGCCCAGGCUCCGACGGGGGGCAGGAGUGGGGAAUAUUGCACAAUGGGCGGAAGCCUGAUGCAGCAACGCCGCGUGCGGGAUGACGGCCUUUGGGUUGUAAACCGCUUUCGCCUGUGACGAAGCGUGAGUGACGGUAAUGGGUAAAGAAGCACCGGCUAACUACGUG
RNAcentral lists this ribosomal RNA (468 nucleotides) under uncultured bacterium. RNAcentral's name for it is "partial 16S ribosomal RNA". It matches the Rfam family "Bacterial small subunit ribosomal RNA", at positions 28 to 507 of the family's 1533-position model. The record is from RNAcentral.